GUUGGUGGGCGCUUUCACCAUUCAGCCAUGGAUGC
This 35-nucleotide transfer RNA is filed under the name Oryza sativa Japonica Group (Japanese rice). RNAcentral's name for it is "tRNA-Leu". The record is from RNAcentral. Lineage: Eukaryota; Viridiplantae; Streptophyta; Magnoliopsida; Poales; Poaceae.